This 521-nucleotide long non-coding RNA is filed under the name Calidris pugnax (ruff). RNAcentral describes it as "lncRNA (ENSCPUG00000005215.1)". The record is from RNAcentral. Lineage: Eukaryota; Metazoa; Chordata; Aves; Charadriiformes; Scolopacidae.
AAAUCACUAUGGUUGUUUCCCUGGGUUGAUGAUGUUCAGAACCUCUGCAAAAUCAUUCCUAUGAUUCCACUUCUUCCCCUUGUUCCUUCUACCUUCAAAUCCAACAAAGUCACUCACACUUUGUUCCAGUGAGAGGAUUUAUGGUUAAACAGUCUCCCGGGCUGGAAUUUGGCCCAUUAGACUCCCAUCCACUUGCACAUGGAUGAGAGUAAUGAACUGCCUUUAAUACAAGGUGGUCUUUGGAUUUUCAAAGUUCUAUAAAACAAAUCUAAAUUGUUUGUUGAUUCCAGUGGAACUGUGGAAGUAGCGAAAGGGUUCCACAUCAUUGGUGAAGUAUGAAAAGCAAGCAGUGCUUAUUAUUGAAUCUCAAAGUGCAAUGCUGGAGCCUCGAUCUACAGGAACAGAAACAAGUCCUGCCUAGCAUCAAGACCUUAAACCACCCAAGGAACCAUCAAAGCUGGCCAACACCACUGAUGUUAGUAGAAGAGGCAAAAGUAAUAACUCCAUGCCAAAAAGGCUAA